CAGACCGCUCUCUUUUAAGAAGCUAACCUACCCUCUGGACAGAGACACCCCCGGGAAACUGGGACUAAUCCCAGAUAGGCGUGGAUACCUGGAAUGGUUCCACACCCAAAGGCACGGCAACCAUGUUUGUCGUGCGCCAGAGGAUGGGGCUGCGGCCGAUCAGGCAGUUGGCGAGGUAACGGCUCACCAAACCUCUGACCGGUACGGGCCAUGACAGUGGUAGCCCGGAGAUGGACACUGAGAUAGGGGUCCAGGCCCUACGGGGCGCAGCAGGCGCGAAAACUCCACACUGUACGUAAGUACGAUGGGGUUAUCUCGAGUGCAGUCUGAAAAAGAUUGUUUUUCCAUAGAGUAAUAUCCUGUGGGAAUAAGAGGGGGGCAAGACUGGUGUCAGCCGCCGCGGUAACACCAGCCCCUCGAGUGGUGGGGACUUUUAUUGGGCCUAAAGCGUCCGUAGCUGGCUGUAUCCGUCUCCCGUUAAAUCCAGCGUCUCAAGCGUUGGACUGCGGGUGAUACCAUACAGCUUGAGGGUGGGACAGGUAAGCGGUAUUUCUGGGGUAGGGGCGAAAUCCUUUGAUCCCAGGAGGACCACCAGUGGCGAAGGCUGCUUACUAGAACACGCCUGACGGUCAGGGACGAAAGCUGGGGUAGCGAACC
RNAcentral lists this ribosomal RNA (657 nucleotides) under uncultured archaeon. RNAcentral's name for it is "bacterial SSU rRNA". It matches the Rfam family "Archaeal small subunit ribosomal RNA", at positions 82 to 725 of the family's 1478-position model. The record is from RNAcentral.